GGUACUUGAAGAUAGGUUAUCCGUGUUGCCUUCGUUUUAUUUAUGUCGAAUCAUACGCGGUUGACCUAUUUUCCAGUAUC
Molecule: non-coding RNA, 80 nt
Organism: Cavia porcellus (domestic guinea pig)
Lineage: Eukaryota; Metazoa; Chordata; Mammalia; Rodentia; Caviidae
Source: Rfam